AGUGAACGCUGGCGGUAGGCCUAACACAUGCAAGUCGAACGGCAGCACAGUAAGAGCUUGCUCUUACGGGUGGCGAGUGGCGGACGGGUGAGGAAUACAUCGGAAUCUACUUUUUCGUGGGGGAUAACGUAGGGAAACUUACGCUAAUACCGCAUACGACCUACGGGUGAAAGCAGGGGAUCUUCGGACCUUGCGCGAUUGAAUGAGCCGAUGUCGGAUUAGCUAGUUGGCGGGGUAAAGGCCCACCAAGGCGACGAUCCGUGGCUGGUCUGAGAGGAUGAUCAGCCACACUGGAACUGAGACACGGUCCAGACUCCUACGGGAGGCAGCAGUGGGGAAUAUUGGACAAUGGGCGCAAGCCUGAUCCAGCCAUACCGCGUGGGUGAAGAAGGCCUUCGGGUUGUAAAGCCCUUUUGUUGGGAAAGAAAAGCAGCAGGUUAAUACCCCGCUGUUCUGACGGUACCCAAAGAAUAAGCACCGGCUAACCCCGUG
This 492-nucleotide ribosomal RNA is filed under the name uncultured bacterium. Its description in RNAcentral is "partial 16S ribosomal RNA". It matches the Rfam family "Bacterial small subunit ribosomal RNA", at positions 29 to 507 of the family's 1533-position model. The record is from RNAcentral.